Molecule: ribosomal RNA, 518 nt
Filed under: uncultured bacterium
Lineage: Bacteria
Description: bacterial SSU rRNA
Rfam family: Bacterial small subunit ribosomal RNA
Source: RNAcentral
AGAGUUGAUCAUGGCUCAGGAUGAACGCUAGCUACAGGCUUAACACAUGCAAGUCGAGGGGCAGCAUUGGAGUAGCAAUACUCAGAUGGCGACCGGCGCACGGGUGAGUAACACGUAUCCAACCUGCCGCUUACUCGGGGAUAGCCUUUCGAAAGAAAGAUUAAUACCCGAUGGUAUAAAGAGUUCGCAUGUUCUCUUUAUUAAAGAAUUUCGGUAAGCGAUGGGGAUGCGUCCAUUAGAUAGUUGGCGGGGUAACGGCCCACCAAGUCUACGAUGGAUAGGGGUUCUGAGAGGAAGGUCCCCCACAUUGGAACUGAGACACGGUCCAAACUCCUACGGGAGGCAGCAGUGAGGAAUAUUGGUCAAUGGACGAGAGUCUGAACCAGCCAAAAGUAGCGUGAAGGAUGACUGCCCUAGUGGGUUGUAAACUUCUUUUAUAAGGGAAUAAAGUGAGGGACGUGUCCCUUUUUGUAUGUACCUUAUGAAUAAGGAUCGGCUAACUCCGUGCCAGCCGCUGC